ACUGAACGCUGGCGGCAUGGCUAAAACAUGCAAGUCGAACGGACCCGCAAGGGUUAGUGGCGGAAGGGUGAGUAAAAGUAUCGAACGUACCCCGAGGUGGGGGAUAGGCACGGGAAACUGUGCGUAAUACCCCAUGAUCUCGAGAGAGCAAAGCCGCAAGGCGCCUUGGGAGCGGCGAUAUACCUAUCAGGUAGUUGGCGGGGUAACGGCCCACCAAGCCGAAGACGGGUAGCCGGUGUGAGAGCACGGCCGGCCACAUCGAGACUGAGACACGGCCCAGACUCCUACGGGAGGCAGCAGUGGGGAAUCUUGCGCAAUGGGCGAAAGCCUGACGCAGCGACGUCGCGUGAGGGAUGACGGCC
RNAcentral lists this ribosomal RNA (362 nucleotides) under uncultured bacterium. Its description in RNAcentral is "bacterial SSU rRNA". It matches the Rfam family "Bacterial small subunit ribosomal RNA", at positions 30 to 416 of the family's 1533-position model. The record is from RNAcentral.